Non-coding RNA from Castor canadensis (American beaver), 1792 nucleotides. The record is from RefSeq and is a predicted model, not a curated record. Lineage: Eukaryota; Metazoa; Chordata; Mammalia; Rodentia; Castoridae.
AAAUCCAUAGAGACAGAAGGCAUAUUGGUGGCCAGGGAGAGGAUGAAAUGGGGAGUUACUGCUUACAAAGUAUGAGUCUGGGGGAGAGGAGGUGUAGGAAUGACUGCCUGGUGAGUAUAUGGUUUCCUUUUGGGGUGAUAAGAAUGUUCUGGAACCUAGAAUAGUGGUGAUGGUUAUAAACAUUAUGAAUGUAUUAAAUGCCAGUGAUUAAAAACUUUUAAAUGGUUAAUUUAUGUUACAUGAAUUUCACCUCAUUUCAAAAAAAAACAAGCUGAAACAUUGAAAUGAGAGUUUUUCUUGACUGUUAGAGUGGAGGCAGCAAUUAGGAGAGGAUGGCUGCUGUCCAAAGUUCUGCUAGUUCUUCCUGAGUAGAGCUGAGGUUUAUUUCUCAGCAUCUUAUGACACUCUGACUAAAAGGACAACUGUGAGGGUGGUGAUGGCAGUAAGAAGUAUUCAGUAUACAGUAGGAUAUGCGCUAGAGGAGUCACGUCUCUUUACCUGAGAGCAUCCUUGCAUCCUUUCCAGUUGAUUAAUCACCAUUUCCCUUUGACAUGUGUUUCCCUCUCUCACCUUUCACGUCUGUCUGGUCCCCUUUCACGUCUAUCUGGUCCCCUUUCAUCUCAGCUACCAGAAAUCUCGGAGCCAAAUUCUGCCAAACUGACCUCAUUUGCUUUAUGAUUAGGGCUGGAGCCACUCUGCCAGCCCUAAACCCACUUCGGAAUUUCAGUGAAGCAUUUGACAAAGUCUCAAUGAUGUACCUGAAAUAUACCUCAGGGCCCUCUCCUCAGACUUCUCAUCUUGGUGGAUCCCUUUUAAUCACAUUUUUGAUGCCUAGACAUUAGGAAGGCUAGCCAAUACAUUGGACAGACUCAGAAUCUGAAAAAGAUAGAAAUGGUUGAUUACUAUGGACCAAAUAGAACAGGAUGAAUUUUAUCAGAUAUAAGCAUUAAGUCUUAAAGUUGAGGUUAAAAAGCACAAACUGAGUAAGUGUAACAUGGAACACAUGGUGAACCAUGAAGUGUGAUUAUCCCUGACCUCUCAGCGUGGGUUGUCACAGGCGUUAGCCAUGUAUCACGCCAUAUCUGAAGCAUCAUCCGCCAUUGCAUUUUACAAGAAACAAACUUAAAUCCAGAGACCAUGUCAGGAUGAGGAGAAAGACACUUUAGCCUGUGCCAUGAGAUACAAAUGAAGAAAGUAGGAGUGGUGGUCUUGAAAAUCAUGGCACCCUUCAGACAAUGAAAACUAUCUAAAAGAAAAGGAAGAGGAAAAAAAUCAGACUUACCUUAUGUGGUCAUGAAAACAUUCAAGCAAAGACUAGGUGACCACUUGUCAAACAUGUUCUUGAAUCAUGUCAUGACAAUGUCUUUUAGCCCCAAAACUAAUGGAUGUCCAUAAUUAUGUAAAAAGUUAAAAAAAAGCAGGCAAGGAAAGGGUGGAGAAAAAGAAAAUACAGGCUGAAACCAAGGGUUGACUGCAUUCAGAAAGUACUUGCUUUGGGGUGCUUCUAAGUGCAGGGCAUUGCUGAGAGUGCUGUGAUGGAAUGUUCAGAUUUGGGUCAUUAUCAGCAGGCAGAUGACUUAUUUUCUUGACCUUGUUUUAUAGUCUAGUCUCCUGAGACAAGAUCUAGGACUUGGGAGCCCAGCACAACUCUCUUCUUCAGGAAAACCUGGAACACCAUACUACUCAUUCUCUGCCACAAGUUCCAGGAGAAGACCACUCCAUGACUCUGUAGCACUGGAUCCUUUGCAAGCAAAGAAAGUCAGAAAGGUACCUCCUGGUCUGCCUUCUUCUG